AUACUCCUAUCAGAAUAAUAUGUGCAGAUCACCAUGUGUUUGUCCACAGUACUUAGUGUGUCAUUUCAUCAAUUUCUCUACUAUUAUUUUCACAUUUCAUUCAAAAGAUAUAUUCUAUCAAUUCAGAAGAUUAAACUUCUAAACGGAUUUUACAACUUUGUACUCAACAAUUUAGCUAAGGAAAAAGUACAUCAGAGGUCCCUCAACUUGUCAUCGAAUUACAAAAACGUCCCUCAACCACAAAACCAGAUAUAUCGCAUCCCUCAACUAUCAAAACCGGAUUAAUGUGGGUCCUAUGGCAGUAUUGAACCCUGGUUUUGCCGACGUGGCGAUUUGACACCACGGUCGUCGACGCUGACUCAGCACGGGCGGUAGUUAGGAUAUUAAAGUGAGGGUUGUUUGGCGCGGUUGUGCCGUUCCCCAUUUUCGCGAAACCCUAGCGAGUGCAGAGUGAGGGCGGCGGCCAGGAGUACUGGGCGGCGACAAGGUAAACAGCGACGCAGCGAUGUCGAGCUCAAGGAGCGAUGGCUCAUCGUCUUCUUCCCGCCGGUGCAGUGCUUCUCCCGUGUCGUAUCGGGUUGGUCCUCUCAAUUACCAACCCGCGGUGAUGUGCCGUUGUUGUUGCCCUGCAAAGGCAACGUGGUGGAUUUCGUGGAGCAUUGAUAACCCAGGGCGACGGUAUUAUAAGUGCCAAAAUGCUCGGGAGGGGGGUUGCGAUUUCUGGGUUUGGUGCGACGGUCCGACAACGAGCUUCAUCAAGGAGUUGUUGAAUGAUUUGCGAGAUGCUGUGACAGGGCUGAGGAGGGAGAACGAACAUCUGAGGAGGGAGAACAAAGAUCUACAGAGGGAUGCUGAAGAGAAUAGGGCGAAGAGGGUAGAACAGAGGAAAGUUAUAUAGGAUGCUAGUAGAGUGGAUGCUUUGAAGACUGAAGAGAUUAGAAUCUUGAAGACUAGAAACCAAAAGUUAGAGAAGGAGAGGAAUGUGGUUGUAGUAUUUAUGUUGUCAGGCAUGUUUGUGUUGUUUGUGUUGUUGUUUGGGAAGAAUUGAUGUGUGGCUAGUAUUAUGUAAAUGGAAGCACUAUGAAUGUGUUCCAGUACCCUUUAUAUAUGCUGAAGACAUUUGGAAUGAAUGAUCUUUGUCAGUUAAAAAUUUGUGGAUCUUUGUCAGUUAAAAA
Molecule: non-coding RNA, 1175 nt
Organism: Oryza sativa Japonica Group (Japanese rice)
Lineage: Eukaryota; Viridiplantae; Streptophyta; Magnoliopsida; Poales; Poaceae
Source: RefSeq, a predicted model, not a curated record